Molecule: ribosomal RNA, 375 nt
Filed under: Triticum aestivum (bread wheat)
Lineage: Eukaryota; Viridiplantae; Streptophyta; Magnoliopsida; Poales; Poaceae
Description: partial small subunit ribosomal RNA
Source: RNAcentral
AUGUUCCUUAAGAACGGAUUGUGCUACCGCAUCCUUCGCCAUCCGCACAACACGGUCAUCGGCUACGAGAACCACAACAAGCUUGCCUGGGUGCAGCGCAUGGUGCAGACGACGGCGCCGGAGGAGACGGCCCUGGCGCUGAGCGUGAUCUCGGACAACAUCUCGGCGUCCACCACGCCGGCGUCGCUGUGCAUCGCGCUGGGCUCGCUGAUCGGCGCUUGGGUGAGCAGCAACACCUCGGAGCCGCUCACCGGCGCCGGCCAGCAGGCGACGGGGAUGGCAUCGGCCAAGUUCACGUCGCUGCUCGUCUGGUGGCCUCCUUCGCCUGCUUCAUCCAGUCCGCGGGGCACUACGUGCACGCCAGCUUCCUCAUGA